UUAGGUAUAGCUCAACGGUUAGAGCUGCGGGCUUUUAAUCCGAAGAUCAUGGUUCAAUUCCAUGUACCUCUA
RNAcentral lists this transfer RNA (72 nucleotides) under Harpochytrium sp. JEL94. RNAcentral describes it as "tRNA-Lys". It matches the Rfam family "tRNA". Rfam says of the family: Transfer RNA (tRNA) molecules are approximately 80 nucleotides in length. Their secondary structure includes four short double-helical elements and three loops (D, anti-codon, and T loops). Further hydrogen bonds mediate the characteristic L-shaped molecular structure. tRNAs have two regions of fundamental functional importance: the anti-codon, which is responsible for specific mRNA codon recognition, and the 3' end, to which the tRNAs corresponding amino acid is attached (by aminoacyl-tRNA synthetases). tRNAs cope with the degeneracy of the genetic code in two manners: having more than one tRNA (with a specific anti-codon) for a particular amino acid; and 'wobble' base-pairing, i.e. permitting non-standard base-pairing at the 3rd anti-codon position. The record is from RNAcentral. Lineage: Eukaryota; Fungi; Monoblepharomycota; Monoblepharidomycetes; Monoblepharidales; Harpochytriaceae.